RNAcentral lists this ribosomal RNA (425 nucleotides) under uncultured bacterium. RNAcentral's name for it is "partial 16S ribosomal RNA". It matches the Rfam family "Bacterial small subunit ribosomal RNA", at positions 354 to 796 of the family's 1533-position model. The record is from RNAcentral.
GUGAGGAAUAUUGGACAAUGGAGGAAACUCUGAUCCAGCCAUGCCGCGUGAGUGAUGAAGGCCUUCGGGUUGUAAAGCUCUUUCGGGUGUGAAAAUGAUGAUGGUAACACCAGAAGAAGCCCCGGCUAACUCCGUGCCAGCAGCCGCGGUAAUACGGAGGGGGCGAGCGUUGUUCGGAAUCACUGGGCGUAAAGCGUGCGUAGGCGGUUAUACAAGUCAGGAGUGAAAUCCCAGGGCUCAACCUUGGAAUUGCUUUUGAGACUGUAUGACUAGAGAGCUAGAGAGGUUGGGGGAAUUCCGAGUGUAGAGGUGAAAUUCGCAGAUAUUCGGAGGAACACCAGUGGCGUAGGCGCCCAACUGGCUAGAUACUGACGCUGAGGCACGAAAGCGUGGGGAGCAAACAGGAUUAGAAACCCUUGUAGUCC